AACGAACGCUGGCGGCAGGCUUAACACAUGCAAGUCGAGCGCCCCGCAAGGGGAGCGGCAGACGGGUGAGUAACGCGUGGGAACGUACCCUUCUCUGCGGAAUAGCCCCGGGAAACUGGAAUUAAUACCGCAUACGCCCUUUGGGGGAAAGAUUUAUCGGGGAAGGAUCGGCCCGCGUUGGAUUAGCUAGUUGGUGGGGUAAAGGCCUACCAAGGCGACGAUCCAUAGCUGGUCUGAGAGGAUGAUCAGCCACAUUGGGACUGAGACACGGCCCAAACUCCUACGGGAGGCAGCAGUGGGGAAUAUUGGACGAUGGGGGCAACCCUGAUCCAGCCAUGCCGCGUGAGUGAUGAAGGACUUAGGGUUGUAAAGCUCUUUCACCGGUGAAGAUAAUGACGGUAACCGGAGAAGAAGCCCCGGCUAACUUCGUGCCAGCCGCCGCCGUAA
This 447-nucleotide ribosomal RNA is filed under the name uncultured bacterium. RNAcentral describes it as "partial 16S ribosomal RNA". It matches the Rfam family "Bacterial small subunit ribosomal RNA", at positions 29 to 523 of the family's 1533-position model. The record is from RNAcentral.